AGAGUUUGAUCAUGGCUCAGGACAAACGCUGGCGGCGUGCCUAACACAUGCAAGUCGAGCGUGAAGGGAGCUUCGGCUCCUGGAAAGCGGCGAACGGGUGAGUAACACGUGGGCAACCUGCCUCAAGGACUGGGAUAACUCCGGGAAACCGGGGCUAAUACCGGGCGAUGUCGUCUGGCGCAAGCCGGCCGACCAAAUGGUAGCUUCGGCCUCCGCCUUGAGAUGGGCCCGCGUCCUAUCAGCUUGUUGGUGAGGUAACGGCUCACCAAGGCUACGACGGGUAGCUGGUCUGAGAGGAUGAUCAGCCACACCGGGACUGAGAUACGGCCCAGACUCCUACGGGAGGCAGCAGUGGGGAAUCUUGCGCAAUGGGCGAAAGCCUGACGCAGCAACGCCGCGUGAGCGAAGAAGGCCUUCGGGUUGUAAAGCUCUGUCAGGGGGAAAGAAGGCACCUGGGUUAAUAGCCCAAGGGCUGACGGUACCCCCAAAGGAAGCCACGGCUAACUACGUGCCAGCAGCCGCGGUAAUACGUAGGUGGCGAGCGUUGUCCGGAAUCAUUGGGCGUAAAGAGCGCGUAGGUGGCUUGUCAGGUCCGAUGUGAAAACCUGGGGCUCAACCCCAGGCCUGCAUCGGAAACCGGCUUGCUAGAGUCUGGGAGAGGAGAGUGGAAUUCCUGGUGUAGCGGUGAAAUGCGUAGAUAUCAGGAGGACACCGGUAGCGAGGCGGCUCUCUGGACAGUACUGACGCUGAGGCGCGAAGCUAGGGAGCGAACAGAAUAAGAUACC
Molecule: ribosomal RNA, 785 nt
Filed under: uncultured bacterium
Lineage: Bacteria
Description: bacterial SSU rRNA
Rfam family: Bacterial small subunit ribosomal RNA
Source: RNAcentral